AUACGUAGGGUGCGAGCGUUGUCCGGAAUUAUUGGGCGUAAAGAGCUCGUAGGCGGCUUGUCGCGUCGGAUGUGAAAGCCCGGGGCUUAACCCCGGGUCUGCAUUCGAUACGGGCAGGCUAGAGUUCGGCAGGGGAGAUUGGAAUUCCGGGUGUAGCGGUGAAAUGCGCAGAUUUAUGGAGGAACACCGUGGGCGAAGGCGGAGUUCUGGGCCGAUACUGACGCUGAGGAGCGAAAGCGUGGGGAGCGAACAGGAUUAGAUCCCCUGGUAGUCCACGCCGUAAACGUUGGGCACUAGGUGUGGGCGGCAUUCCACGUCGUCCGUGCCGCAGCUAACGCAUUAAGUGCCCCGCCUGGGGAGUACGGCCGCAAGGCUAAAACUCAAAUGAAUUGACGGGG
RNAcentral lists this ribosomal RNA (398 nucleotides) under uncultured bacterium. Its description in RNAcentral is "partial 16S ribosomal RNA". It matches the Rfam family "Bacterial small subunit ribosomal RNA", at positions 523 to 918 of the family's 1533-position model. The record is from RNAcentral.